This 2159-nucleotide ribosomal RNA is filed under the name Hoplandrothrips sp. n. TH59. RNAcentral describes it as "SSU rRNA". It matches the Rfam family "Eukaryotic small subunit ribosomal RNA". The record is from RNAcentral. Lineage: Eukaryota; Metazoa; Arthropoda; Insecta; Thysanoptera; Phlaeothripidae.
AGAUUAAGCCAUGCAUGUGUAAGUGCAAGCCGUACUAAGGCGAAACCGCGAAAGGCUCAUUACAUCAGUUGUGGUUCCUUGGACUGUACCCAGUUACUUGGAUAACUGCGGAAAAUCUGGAGCUAAUACAUGCCGACAGAGUCCCGACCAGAGAUGGGAGGGACGCUUUUAUUAGAUCAAAACCAAAAAUCCCCCUCGGGGGAAACGGUUUAAGGUGACUCUGAAUAACUUUGUGCCGAUCGCACGGCCCUCGCGCCGGCGACGCGUCUUUCAAAUGUCUGCCUUAUCAACUUUCGAUGGUAGGCUCUGCGCCUACCAUGGUUGUAACGGGUGACGGGGAAUCAGGGUUCGAUUCCGGAGAGGGAGCCUGAGAAACGGCUACCACAUCCAAGGAAGGCAGCAGGCGCGCAAAUUACCCACUCCCGGCUCGGGGAGGUAGUGACGAAAGAUAACGAUGCAGGACUCUUUUGAGGCCCUGUAAUCGGAAUGACUACAUUUUAAAUCUCUUAAGGAGUAUCAAUUGGAGGGCAAGUCUGGUGCCAGCAGCCGCGGUAAUUCCAGCUCCAAUAGCGUAUAUUAAAGCUGUUGCGGUUAAAAAGCUCGUAGUUGGAUCUGUGCCCCGCACCGCCGGUCCCCGCUCUCGCGGAGCGACUGGCAGGUCUUUGCGGGGCGUCCUGCCGGUGGGAGGUCUUGCCGGCGGCGGUCUCAAUUUUUCGCUCCGGGUGUACGCUCGGUCCGGGGUGUUUACGUCUGCUCGCGUUCAGUCGGCCGGGCGACCGGUACGGCGGCGGGCCGUCCCCCGUUCUCGAAGCCCGGGCGGGCCGCCGAUGCGCGCGCUCCCGGUUAUCCGAUCCUGCCGAAGGUGCUCUUCACCGAGUGUCGAGGCGGGCCGGCAUGUUUACUUUGAACAAAUUAGAGUGCUUAAAGCAGGCUGGUGACGCCUGAAUGCUGUGUGCAUGGAAUAAUGGAAUAGGACCUCGGUUCUAUUUUCUUUUGGUUUUCUGAACCAGAGGUAAUGAUUAACGGAGACAGGCGGGGGCAUUCGUAUUGCGACGUUAGAGGUGAAAUUCUUGGAUCGUCGCAAGACGAACAGAAGCGAAAGCAUUUGCCAAGGAUGUUCUCGUUGAUCAAGAACGAAAGUCAGAGGUUCGAAGGCGAUCAGAUACCGCCCUAAUUCUGACCGUAAACGCUGCCAUCUGGUUAUUCGCCCACGUUACAACUUUUAUGACUGGGCGAGCAACCCUCGGGAAACCAAAGAUUUUGGGUUCCGGGGGAAGUAUGGUUGCAAAGCUGAAACUUAAAGGAAUUGACGGAAGGGCACCACCAGGAGUGGAGCCUGCGGCUUAAUUUGACUCAACACGGGAAACCUCACCAGGCCCGGACACUGGAAGGAUUGACAGAUUGAUAGCUCUUUCUUGAUUCAGUGGGUGGUGGUGCAUGGCCGUUCUUAGUUGGUGGAGCGAUUUGUCUGGUUAAUUCCGAUAACGAACGAGACUCUGGCCUGCUAACUAGUCGAGGGGGUCGGGUCCUGCGCGGGCCUCCUGGUCGCCCGUGCGUCGGACGGGCGUGUGUUUUCGGCCCUUGGCCGGGCGGGGGAGUUGUGGGGGGUCAAACCCUCGCUCUCCCUCGUUUCGGUCGGGGUGUCCGGAGCGCGCGUUUCGGACGGCGUCGUGGUGGCUGUGGUCGGUCUCGUAGGGCCCCCCCAACCCGGCAUCCUUUCAUAGUCGCUGCCGGCGAAAGCAAAUUCUUCUUAGAGGGACAGGCGGCUCCUAGCCGCACGAGAUUGAGCAAUAACAGGUCUGUGAUGCCCUUAGAUGUUCUGGGCCGCACGCGCGCUACAAUGAAGGUAUCAACGUGUGUCCCUUGGCCGAGAGGCCCGGGUAACCCGCUGAACCACCUUCGUGCUUGGGACUGGGGCUUGAAAUUGUUCCCCACGAACGAGGAAUUCCCAGUAAAGGCGUGUCACUAGCACGCCUUGAUUACGUCCCUGCCCUUUGUACACACCGCCCGUCGCUACUACCGAUUGAAUGAAUUAGUGAGGUCUUCGGACCAGCGCGCGGUUCUCGUCCCCUCGGGGACUCCCGUCGCAGCAGGGAAGAUGAUCGAACUUGUUCAUUUAGAGGAAGUAAAAGUCGUAACAAGGUUUCCGUAGUGACCUG